Rhinopithecus roxellana (golden snub-nosed monkey) is the source of this 402-nucleotide long non-coding RNA. RefSeq lists it as uncharacterized. The transcript is spliced from 2 exons. The record is from RefSeq and is a predicted model, not a curated record. NCBI's taxonomy places the organism in Eukaryota, Metazoa, Chordata, Mammalia, Primates, Cercopithecidae.
CCCAAACGUCUGCGCCUCUAAUGGAAGACCGGGGUGAGAGGGCCACGCAGGCGACGGAAACGGCCAGAAGAUGUCCCUGCGACACCGUUCGCCUUUGCUGGUGGGUCCGCAAACCCACGAAGAAUGGACCCGCUCGGCUUCCGUCUAAUACGACGCGCAGGACGGAAGUCCUGCCUCCGUACCUGACGUAUAUUUUCUGCGCUUGCAGCACUCCGGAAGUGAGAGGUUUAGCUCCACUGUUGAUUUCUUGUUGGAAGAGGAAAUUGGUCCACAUGGAGAGAGUCCAGGGAUGACAGGCACAGAGGAAAGGCCAUGUGAGGACACAGUGAGAAGGCAGCCCUCUCCAGGUGAAGGAGACAGGCCUCAGAAGAAACCAAACCUGCCUGGUCCUGGACUUCUAGU